This 481-nucleotide ribosomal RNA is filed under the name uncultured bacterium. Its description in RNAcentral is "partial 16S ribosomal RNA". It matches the Rfam family "Bacterial small subunit ribosomal RNA", at positions 28 to 507 of the family's 1533-position model. The record is from RNAcentral.
GAUGAACGCUGGCGGCGUGCUUAACACAUGCAAGUCGAACGAAGCACCUCAUUUUUUUUCCUUCGGUCCUGAUUCUUUUGUGACUGAGUGACGGACGGGUGCGUACCGCGUGUGUAACCUGCCUUGUACAGGCGGAUGACAGUUGGAAACGGCUGCUACUACUGCAUAAGCGCACGGCAUCGCAUUCGGCAGUGUGAAACGGUCCGGUGGAAUAGGAUGGACCCGCGUUGGUUUUGCUAGGGGGUGAGGUAGCAGCCCACCUAGGCGACGAUCCAUAGCCGACGGGAGAGGCUGACAGGUCACAAUUGGACUGAGACACGGACCAAACUCCGACGCGAGGGAGCAGAGGGGAAUAUAGCACAAGGGGCGAAAACGUGAUGAAGCGACGUGGGGUGAGCGGAGAAGUAUUUUGGGAUGCAAAGCUCUAUCAGAAGAGGAGAGAGUGACGGUACCUGGUUAAGAAGCACCGGCUAACUACGUG